CCUACGGGUGGCAGCAGUGAGGAAUAUUGGUCAAUGGGCGAGAGCCUGAACCAGCCAAGUCGCGUGAGGGAGUACUGCCCUAUGGGUUGUAAACCUCUUUUGUCGGGGAGCAAAAGCCGGACGUGUCCGGCUGUGAGAGUACCCGAAGAAAAAGCAUCGGCUAACUCCGUGCCAGCAGCCGCGGUAAUACGGAGGAUGCGAGCGUUAUCCGGUUUUAUUGGGUUUAAAGGGGGCGCAGGCGGAUUUUUAAGUCAGCGGUAAAAUCGUGGGGCUCAACCCCAUCCAGCCGUUGAAACUGGGGAUCUAGAGUGUGCGAGAGGUAUGCGGAAUGCGUGGUGUAGCGGUGAAAUGCAUAGAUAUCACGCAGAACCCCGAUUGCGAAGGCAGCAUACCGGUGCACAACUGACGCUCAGGCACGAAAGCGUGGGUAUCGAACAGGAUUAGAUACCUCUGUAGUC
Molecule: ribosomal RNA, 458 nt
Filed under: uncultured bacterium
Lineage: Bacteria
Description: partial 16S ribosomal RNA
Rfam family: Bacterial small subunit ribosomal RNA
Source: RNAcentral